GUGUGUUCAGCCCCACGGACAUAUGCGGCCAACGAUUUCAGAAGUUAUAAAGGAGAUCCAAGAUGCAAUAUCUAUUGAGAGACAGGCAGAAGCAUUAAGAGAAGGCAAUUCAGAUGACAUGUCAAAACAUUCUUUUCAUUCUUCCAUGAACAUGGGGUCAAUGGAUCUAGGUGGAGCUGAGAGUUACCUGUCAAUUGAUGAAUCAAUUGCACAGCCCACAGCAAGAUAGAUCUCUCUUGUAAACAAAAGCAAAUUUUCCUUCUUCGGAUUUUAUUUUUUCUUUCAUUACUUCUUUGUAUGUGGAGGCCUUGUUAAUAUGCG
Molecule: long non-coding RNA, 321 nt
Filed under: Glycine max (soybean)
Lineage: Eukaryota; Viridiplantae; Streptophyta; Magnoliopsida; Fabales; Fabaceae
Description: long non-coding RNA (GMAX_LNC000664)
Source: RNAcentral